RNAcentral lists this ribosomal RNA (510 nucleotides) under Priestia paraflexa. RNAcentral's name for it is "bacterial SSU rRNA". It matches the Rfam family "Bacterial small subunit ribosomal RNA", at positions 39 to 524 of the family's 1533-position model. The record is from RNAcentral. Lineage: Bacteria; Bacillati; Bacillota; Bacilli; Caryophanales; Bacillaceae.
UUGGCAAUGCGGGGUGCUAUACAUGCAAGUCGAGCGAACUGAUUAGAAGCUUGCUUCUAUGACGUUAGCGGCGGACGGGUGAGUAACACGUGGGCAACCUGCCUGUAAGACUGGGAUAACUCCGGGAAACCGGAGCUAAUACCGGAUAACAUUUUCUCUUGCAUAAGAGAAAAUUGAAAGAUGGUUUCGGCUAUCACUUACAGAUGGGCCCGCGGUGCAUUAGCUAGUUGGUGAGGUAACGGCUCACCAAGGCAACGAUGCAUAGCCGACCUGAGAGGGUGAUCGGCCACACUGGGACUGAGACACGGCCCAGACUCCUACGGGAGGCAGCAGUAGGGAAUCUUCCGCAAUGGACGAAAGUCUGACGGAGCAACGCCGCGUGAGUGAUGAAGGCUUUCGGGUCGUAAAACUCUGUUGUUAGGGAAGAACAAGUACAAGAGUAACUGCUUGUACCUUGACGGUACCUAACCAGAAAGCCACGGCUAACUACGUGCCAGCAGCCGCGGUAAU